CUUAAGCUGUUGCGGUUAAGAGCUCCAUCUGGGCUUGGUCACUGAGGAUUUAAAACGUGAUCCUGUGACAGUUUAAAUAAGUACUUGUCAACCCAUGUCAAAAAAGGUAACAGAAAGAGAGAGUCUUCAGGAUCACCUGACAACAUGAUUGGAAGGCAUGGACAGUUUUCCACAGAAGGAGAAGACUGGAACUUUUCAUUUAGAGAGGAG
This is a long non-coding RNA of Mauremys mutica (yellowpond turtle), 210 nucleotides long. RefSeq lists it as uncharacterized. The record is from RefSeq and is a predicted model, not a curated record. The transcript has 3 exons. Lineage: Eukaryota; Metazoa; Chordata; Testudines; Geoemydidae.